GCAAAAUUUGGUGUUGGGUUGGAGCAAUUUUGCACCAAAAAAUAGUGCAAAAUGGUGCAAUGGUGUUGUGGUUGGAGAUGGCCUUAUUUACAUUACAGAACAGGAAUUUCGGAUUUGAUCUUGCAAUAAUUCGCCUUUGGCCUAUAUAUCAUCGUUGUUUAUCCUUUGCCAGGAAAGAAAGGGGAAAAGGAGAAAGAUACAAAUAACCCUUUCUCUCAGGGGACCUGUAGCCAUAGUCAUCAAUUCCAGAGCAUUCCUCCACAAACAAAAUCAAAUGUAAAUGUUACAAUUGUAACAGAAUUCUUUCCUGCAGAAAACCAAUUUCUUUCAUGUCCGAAUCCUUUUCCUUAUGAUAUCAGACAUAUAUUGAUUCAACCAUUGUCGUGGCUCCCGAAUUGAUGAAUUCUUGGAGGACCUUUUUUUGGUAGAUUGGAAUAGCGAAAAAGAAUUCAUAUUCACGAAUUUAGUGGGAAAAAGAUUUAUUGUAUCCGUUGUUUGUAGAAUGUCUUGAAAGAAGAAUACUGUGUAUAUGUUAGCGUUAUUUGCUUUGCCAUCUGUAUUCUCCUGAUGCAAUUGCAGCCUAAGAGAAUUCGUGAUCACGAAUUUAUUAGGAAAAAUACUUAGUUUAUCGAUGGUGUUUGUAGAAUGUCCGGAAAGAGGAAUAUUGUGUAUACGUUGGCUUUCUUCGCCCUGUCUUCUUUAUUGUCCUGAUGCAAUUGCUUUGGCAGCCAAAAAAAAAUCUAGUUAAUUCUUGUUUCCUUCAUCGAGGUUGCUCCUUAACAUUUAACCGUUAAGGACAUCAAUUCCAUUUCUCUUUUGAUUGGAAGAGGAACAGGAUUACAAGAAUGGCUUAUCGUAUAAACAUGAGGGCAAAUUCAUUAUCCUCUUCCCAACCUCCUUUGGCUCAGAAAUUAACAAAUGAUCCUGUAACUCAGAAAACCGCGAGCAACACUGUCACAUGUUUUUACCAGACACAUAUUGGAGGUUACUGGCGAUAUGUGACUGUAUUAUGGAGCAAGGAUUUGUCUAGUCAUUUUCUGAGCAUAUCUGUUGCAACCAUGGAAAGUGAUUAUCAUCAGACGUGCAAAAUUGACCUUAAACCUUGGCAGUUUUGGGCAAAGAAAGGGUGCAAAACCUUUCAGGUUGAUGGGAAUCAAUUGGAUGUCUAUUGGGAUUUUCGUUCGGCAAAAUAUUCUGGUAGUCCAGAACCCUGUUCAGAUUUUUACGUUGCAUUAGUUUCUGAUGAAGAAAUGGCGUUAUUGUUGGGGGAUUACACCGAAAAGGCCUAUAAGAGAACAAAAUCAGAAGCAGCCCUGGUUGAUGCAAUGUUGGUUUACAAAGAAGAGCACGUAUUUGGGAAGAAAUCUUUCUCCACCAGAGCGAAAUUUGACCAUAGGAAAAAGGAGCAUGACAUUGUUGUAGAGAGCUCGACUUCAGGGCCUAGAGAACCCGAAAUGUGGAUUAGCAUAGAUGGGAUUGUGUUGAUACAUAUUCGGAACUUGCAGUGGAAAUUCAGGGGGAAUCAGACAAUCUUAGUUAAUAAACAACCGGUUCAAGUCUUUUGGGAUGUAUAUGCUUGGCUAUUUUGCGUCCCAGGCUCAAACCACGCAUUGUUUAUCUUCAAGCCAGGUGCACCAGAGGUGGAAAGUGACAAAGAUGAAAGCUUCAGUCAUGGCGAUGGAAGUGACUGCAGUGGGGAUAGCAAGUAUUAUUCCACGAUAAGCUAUUCACAGGCUUCAAGGUUCUGUCUUUUCCUCUAUGCAUGGAAGAUCGAGUAAGAGAUCAUGUCUAUAAAUUCAGAAGAAUUUGUUGUUCUAAAACUAUUCACUGCAGUAAAUUUUUAUAAUGAUAAAACUCCUACAUUCUUGUUGAUUAUACAAUCAUAUUGCGAAAAUUAAUUUCUUCCAGAAAUGUUGAUUAUUGUCCGCAAUUUGGUUCUGAUUGAUCUGCAUUUAUGGAAAUACUGAAAAAGAAAAAUGAACACAACUUACAAACUCUCAAAUGUUUAUCAUAGAUAUUUGCUCAUAUGAAUUUAGAGUUCUUAGAUGUUUGGUUUUCUAUAUCCACGUGUUCUUGAUGUAUUUCUAUCAGUGGUUUGUGGGCAUUGCAUUCUUAGUUGUAAAUUCACAUCAAAGGGGACAUUUUAUGCGUUUAUAAUUUGUAAUAAACAUAAUUUUGUAAUGAAAUUUCGGCAUUAUAUAUAAUUCAAAAAGAUUGUAGGCUCGUUCAAGUCCAUCUUGGGACAGCCUGCAGAUCGAGACUGAUUCCCCAAAAAUGUGGGGAACCAGGUCCGGCCAGGCCUGCCAAAAAACCCGGGUCAACCAGUUCAUGAGCAAGUCAAACUGACCGAGCCAUCCGAACUAACACCACUACAUGCGAAACAUGAGUAUCGCAUAGAUAAUUUAUUUUGUUCAAAUAUAUGCCAAAAUGCUUUCCACGUGCAUGAGCAAAUAAUAAUGAUUGAGUUCACGUCUAAAAAUGACGAUCCUUCUAAAAGUGUCGAGAAAUUCUAUGCUAAAUUAUAUUGAAAAAUGUUUUAAUAACUUUAUUGACGUUUCGAGCAAUACUAUGAAUAUUUAAUUUAAUAUUUAUGAAUUAAGCUGCUUAAAACACUCAACUAUAUAUAAUCCAAUGUAAGCCAGCCAAAAAAUUCUUAUGAUCUUCUAACGAUUCAAAAUUCAAAAUUUAAGCUCUCAAAUUGGCUCUAUAGAGGAGAUAAUAAGUUCAGGUUCUUUCAGAAAGAACUCAAUCUUCUUCAAGAGAAAUACGGUCAAGGACAUACAUGAACGUGGAAAAGUAUAAAAAAAAAAGUGGAAAUACUGCUUAAUGUCUAUGGAGCUUAGGAAUCCAUGGAUUUGUUGGCCAGCACGACAAUGUAAAGUAAAUUAUCAUGGAUUAUCAAUUGCCAUCAACAAAGAAGUUGAUGGCGAAAUUUUGAUGAUCUUAUAGAGAAUUGAAAUUCAAAUUUUAAGCCCUCGAAUUGGUUCUCUAGAGUAAUUGGAUUAGGUUCUAGUUCUUCCGGAUAGAACUCAACCUUCUGGGGGAGAAAUACGGUUGAAGAAAUACAUGAAUGUGGAAACUGUAUAAGAUAAAGUGGAAAUGCUGUUUAAUGUCUAUGCAUUCCACAAAAUCCAUGGAUUUGUAGGCCAGCUCGACAAUUUAUUGUAAGUUAUCCAUGGUUAUGAAUUGCCAUCAACAAAGAAGUUCGAGUCAUCUAUUGUUUUCCCAAUAUGCUGCUGAAGUCUCUCAUACAUACAUUGAGAAAAAUAUACUGAAGGCCUAUCAAUGCACUGGUUCUACACCUCUUUGGUGGAAGAAUAUUAUCUCAGGGAGGUUUGCUAUUCUUUGGCAUCUGCUGCCUUUCUCCCUAUGCUUAUUUGCUUGUAGUUAUGACAUUACAUUACAUUGUAAUUUAUAAAUUGGUCGCUGAAUUAUUACUUAAGUGGAUUGGAAUUUAUGGGAAUAGUUGUAUCGCCAACAUUUUGUCCAAGUAUUAGGUCUUGUUGCCUGGACGGAACAUGGUGUCAAAAGCAAUUAAUAGAUACUAUGAUUUAUCUGUAUCUUGAUUAUAUACGGCCUCAACUUAUCAAUAUUUAAAGACUCAGUGACCACUGUACGCAUCUUUAGUUAUGUCAAAAUGCACUUGUAAUACGUAAGUUUUGAGGCUGCAUGUAUUUGUGAAGAAUAGUAUAACAAAUUCCUUGACGAACUUUUUACCAAAGAAUUAUAUGAAUAGAUUUAUUAGCAAGUUUCAAAUUCUUGGUAGGUUUGCUACGUGAUUAUAAAUGUUUGGUAAAACCUAGGAAAGGAAUAAGCUUUCUCAACCAAUUAACGGUGUUGGAAACAAAUUAAAGAUGAGGGCUGAGUUCCAAUGUAUGAACUAGCCUAGUGUUGUUAUCCAUAAAUAAGUCUACUGUCCAGUCGCAAUCAAGUAAAUUUCCCUAAGCAUCCUGAUUUCAGGCAGUUGACUUUCAUAUAUUCCCUGAUGACAAUGAAGUACAAAUGUAUGUAAAUUAAGAUUGACCGAGUUGCUUGAAUUAUUCUUUUCUGUAGUUGUUAUUAAAGUAAUGCAGCAUGUUCAGAUGUAUAUAAGAUGAGUUACCCACCUAUAUGCACUGGGCAGAAUCUGCAUUCUGUGGAUUAAGAUGUAGAAAUAUUGUUUCCUAGGACUGAUUAUUGGUUUGGCUCUUACAGGAACUUUGAUUCAUGGAUGGUAUGAUCAAUCUAUUUUCUUUUAUUCAAAUUUUGACAUUCAAAGAUGAGGGUUUAGUUCUGAUGUAUGAAGAAGCCUAGCUUGUCAUCCAUAAAUAAGUGAACUGUCCUGUCGCAAUCCAGUAAAGUUCCCUAAGCAUCCUGAUUUCCGGAAGUUGACUUUCAUAUAUACCUGUUGACAAUGAAGUAUAGAUGUAUAAAAAUUAUGAUCGACCCCAUUGCUUGAAUUAUUCUUUUCCGUAGUUGUUUUUAAAGUAAUUCAGCAUGAUCAGAUGUAUAUAAGAUGAUUUACCCACAUAUACGCACUGGGCAGUAUCUGUGUUGUGGAUUAAAAUGUGGAAUUAUUGUUUCCUAGGACUGAUUGUUGGUUCUGCUCUUAUGGGAACUUUGAUUCAUGGACGGGAUGAUCAAUCUAUUUUCUUUUACUCAAAUUUUGACAGUUGAAGCUGAGGGCUUAGUUCCAACGUAUGAAGAAGCAUUGUGUUGUCAUCCAUAAAUAAGUCUACUGCCCAGUCGCAAUCAAGUAAGGUUCCCUUAGCAAUCCUGAUUAUAGGCAUUUGACUUUCAUAAAUACCCUGUUGACAAUGAAGUGCAAAUGUAUGAAUUAUGAUUGAUAGAGUUGCUUGAAAUUAUUCUUUUUUCUUAGUUGCUGUUAAAGUAAUGCAGUCUGAUCGGAUGUAUAUAAGAUGAGUUACCCACAUAUAUGCACAAGACCGAAUCUGCAUUGCGUGGAUUAAGAUGUGGAAAUAUUGUUUCCUAGGACUGAUUGUUGGUUGUGCUCUUACAGGAACUUUGAUUCAUGGACAAGAUGAUCAAUUAGGUGUUCAAAUUUGAAUAUUCGAAAAAUCUAGUUUCUUUAGAAGUUUUAUAGAUGAUUUUGUUGCUGAUGCUUCUCUCUCUCUCUCUUCAUUUGUCUCAGAAUUCAUUAGUAUAGACUGUGGAAUAGCCGAUGGAUCCCUUUACAUUGAUCCAAUAACUGGCAUAAUAUAUAGUUCAGAUGCAGGCUUUGUAGACAGUGGUGCAAACAAGAGCAUAUCAGUUACAUUUCAGAACAAUUCCCUUGAAAGGCAGUUCUAAUAUCUUAGAAGCUUUCCUCAAGGAACCCGAAACUGCUAUACGCUAAGACCUGCUCAAGGCAAGGGUAACAAUUAUUUGAUAAGAAUAAGUUUUAUGUAUGGAAAUUACGAUUCCAGGGGUGAAUUGCCAACAUUUGAUCUGUAUCUAGGAGUUGAUUUAUGGGACACAGUUACGUUGAAAAAUGAAUCCACUCUACUAAGGAAGGAUAUUAUACACAUCCCUGCAUCAGAUUAUAUUAACGUUUGUAUUGUAAAAUCGGGAUUAACGACCCCCUUUAUAUCAGCUUUAGAAUUGAGGCCAUUGACUAUUAUCAUAUACCCAACAGUGAAUAAAUCUCUACAACUCAUUGACCGGGUGAAUUUUGCCCCAUCUUCCGACAAAUUAAUCAGUUGAGUCAUGCUGCUUGUGUUAUGCUUGAAUUCCUCUUGUUCAAAUAUUUAGUUCAGUAUUUUUUUUGUAUUCAUUUGUUUACUGCCAUCAGCACUAAGACAUGAUCAACCUUGCUUAGGUACAAAGAUGAUGUUUAUGAUCGUAUAUGGAGGCCCUGGACCUUGAUCAACAGUAUUGUAUUUACAAUAUAUCCCAUAUAUAACAGUGCAGACUAUUUUAAGCCACCUUCUGCUGUCUUGACAACUGCCGUCUAAAAAUGCUAACUACUCUGUUUCCUUCUACUGGGAGUCUAAUAAUCUCAAUGUUAUACUUUACAUGUAUUUUUACUUUGCUGAAUUACAAGAACUACAAGCAAACAAAAACAGAGAAUUCAGCAUCUCUGUGAACGGAAUUAUCUAGCAUGAGAAACUCUCCAUAUUAUCUAUCUUCAUAUACAAUAUACACCACCUACUUGUUUUAGUGUGACUGGUCGUUCCAAGUAUGUAGUCACACUAAAUAAAAACUGCAAAUUCAACUCUCCCACCAAUCAUUAGUGCUGCAGAAGUGUAUGCCUUGGAAAGAUUUUUCGAACUCAGAGACAGAAGAUAAUGAUGGUACGUCAAUUUAUUUUCUAUUUUGGAUUUCGAGUCCAUAAAUACGAACAAUUUACUGUUCUUCUCUGAGCUCCUCCUGUAUUAUUGACCAAUAACUUAUUGGCAAAGUUUACAUACUCAGAGGUCAUGAAAAUCACAAAUAACUGCCAGAAAGUUAUGGACAAAGGUGGAUUUUGUACAGUAUAUCAUGGCUUUGUAGGUGACACUCAAGUUGCUGUAAAGAUGCUCUCCCCUUCAUCAAGUCAAGGACACAGAUAAUUUCUUUUGGAGGUCCUUAUCUAAAUUGCACUGUGCUACAAUAUAUGUACUAGAUAAAUAUAUGUACCAGUAAUUUGUCCUGGGAACCUUUUAGCCCAACCACCUCUAUUUGUAUAUCUGAU
This 6652-nucleotide long non-coding RNA is filed under the name Olea europaea subsp. europaea. Lineage: Eukaryota; Viridiplantae; Streptophyta; Magnoliopsida; Lamiales; Oleaceae. The record is from RNAcentral.